GACGAACGCUGGCGGCGUCCUUAACACAUGCAAGUCGAACGGAAAGGCCCUGCUUUUGUGGGGUGCUCGAGUGGCGAACGGGUGAGUAACACGUGAGUAACCUGCCCUUGACUUUGGGAUAACUUCAGGAAACUGGGGCUAAUACCGGAUAGGAGCUCCUGCUGCAUGGUGGGGGUUGGAAAGUUUCGGCGGUUGGGGAUGGACUCGCGGCUUAUCAGCUUGUUGGUGGGGUAGUGGCUUACCAAGGCUUUGACGGGUAGCCGGCCUGAGAGGGUGACCGGCCACAUUGGGCCUGCGAUACGGCCCAGACUCCUACGGGAGGCAGCAGUGGGGAAUAUUGCACAAUGGGCGGAAGCCUGAUGCAGCAACGCCGCGUGCGGGAUGACGGCCUUCGGGUUGUAAACCGCUUUCGCCUGUGACGAAGCGUGAGUGACGGUAAUGGGUAAAGAAGCACCGGCUAACUACGUG
RNAcentral lists this ribosomal RNA (468 nucleotides) under uncultured bacterium. Its description in RNAcentral is "partial 16S ribosomal RNA". It matches the Rfam family "Bacterial small subunit ribosomal RNA", at positions 28 to 507 of the family's 1533-position model. The record is from RNAcentral.